UUGAGAAAGUCGAAUAUAACGUCUGUUAGCAACGGUCACUCGGUGUAUACUGGCCUUGAACCGAUCACAAAUUCUGACAGGACGACUGACAUUGACAGGACAAAUUACAAUGAUGAGACAACUGACAUUGACAUUGAGAAAGAAAACAGAAAAGAAAGUAGUAACUGAUAUCACAUGUGCAAAUCAAAACUUAUAUCUUAUUAGUACAUAUUAGUUAAAAUCUUUACUGAAUUUGUAUCCUAAUCAUUACAUGCAGAAAAUCGAUUCCAUAAGACUGACACAGUGGACUUUACACGUGAAGAGGAUUAAAAUUUCUUAAAGCAUUCACACACCAACGCUGGGUUUGCUAAAGAAGAUCCGAAAACUCACAGAGGUCCAUAUCGUCAGCAACAAAACUUUAAGAAAUUUUAUCCAACCAAUUUGAGGUUAGUUGGAUAGUUCCAAGGCUACCCAGAGCAGAAUGCCUACUCUCAGGCCACGACCGGAACGAUUGAGCAUCGUUAGAGAACUCUCGGAGGAAGAAGCAGCCACAGAAGCU
Molecule: long non-coding RNA, 538 nt
Organism: Aedes aegypti (yellow fever mosquito)
Lineage: Eukaryota; Metazoa; Arthropoda; Insecta; Diptera; Culicidae
Exons: 3
Source: RefSeq, a predicted model, not a curated record